CAUCUAGGCGGUCAAUCAAGUCGAAGGUGAAAACUUGUGGCUCAACCAUAAGCUUGCCUACGAAACUGAUUAACUAGAGUACUGGAGAGGUGGACGGAACUACACGAGUAGAGGCGAAAUUCGUAGAUAUGUGUAGGAAUGCCGAUGAUGAAGAUAGUUCACUGGACAGAAACUGACGCUGAAGUGCGAAAGCUAGGGGAGCAAACA
This 207-nucleotide ribosomal RNA is filed under the name uncultured bacterium. Its description in RNAcentral is "partial 16S ribosomal RNA". It matches the Rfam family "Bacterial small subunit ribosomal RNA", at positions 568 to 774 of the family's 1533-position model. The record is from RNAcentral.